CAGCCGCCGCGGGAAAACGUAGGUGGCAAGCGUUGUCCGGAAUUAUUGGGCGUAAAGGGCUCGCAGGCGGUUUCUUAAGUCUGAUGUGAAAGCCCCCGGCUCAACCGGGGAGGGUCAUUGGAAACUGGGAAACUUGAGUGCAGAAGAGGAGAGCGGAAUUCCACGUGUAGCGGUGAAAUGCGUAGAGAUGUGGAGGAACACCAGUGGCGAAGGCGACUCUCUGGUCUGUAACUGACGCUGAGGAGCGAAAGCGUGGGGAGCGAACAGGAUUAGAUACCCCUGUAGUCCCUGUCUCUUAUAC
Molecule: ribosomal RNA, 301 nt
Filed under: uncultured bacterium
Lineage: Bacteria
Description: partial 16S ribosomal RNA
Rfam family: Bacterial small subunit ribosomal RNA
Source: RNAcentral